AUCCAGCUGACGAGUCCCAAAUAGAACGAAACGCGUGUCCUAGAU
Non-coding RNA from Schistosoma mansoni, 45 nucleotides. NCBI's taxonomy places the organism in Eukaryota, Metazoa, Platyhelminthes, Trematoda, Strigeidida, Schistosomatidae. The record is from Rfam.